CAUGAAGUCAGACAAGUGAACCCGCUGAAUUUAAGCAUAUCAAUAAGCGGAGGAAA
This 56-nucleotide ribosomal RNA is filed under the name Symbiodinium sp. XSle1. Its description in RNAcentral is "partial 28S ribosomal RNA". RNAcentral also lists the same sequence under 1 other name. Lineage: Eukaryota; Dinophyceae; Suessiales; Symbiodiniaceae. The record is from RNAcentral.